AGAAAGGAGUGUGUAUUCCAUCGGAAGGAUUUUUUACUGUCCGGCUAUUCAAGUUCUUCAACAAUUUGGAUUUUGACACUCUUGCGGAGACCAUGAAGACUAACCUCGUCAUGACUGUCGUCUUUCUGACAGCACUGUUCUGGAUCCCAAUCAGCUGCUGCAUUUCCUGCAUGGACAGGAAAAACAAAAAACCCGCACCUAAGAAAGCGAUGGCACGUGAAGAACGAACCACUGUAAUAACUUCUUCGUUCGAUGAUUCCAUGCUUUAUGAAAUGAGGAAUAUGGAUCGGGAAGGAUCUUCAGUCGAUCCGUUCGCACUACCGUAAAGUCCAACGCCUUCCAAACGCCAAUGACGGGAUGUGGACAAGAAUAAAAUAAGUCCAUCAGUACUGUAAGAAACAGUAUUAACACGAAAUAUUUCAAAGUCUGGCCUAACACCGACAGACUAAAUAAGACCUAAAAUAUAUUUUGUCUUAUCUGAUCAAAGACUAUUACUUUAUAAAAUAUCACAAGCACACACCGAAGAAUAUAACAUUUCUUAAAUUACAUAUUUACGAUUGUUUCUAUAACUUAACACUGUCUUAAAGAAUCAAAUUAAAUCCAAUGCUUUUAAACAAGCAGCUAGGAAACAUGUACUGACAAGGCUGUUUUUGUGCACAGCGUUUCUACGAAAUGGAUUAUCUAAAUAGGUUUAAUGCCUUUAAGUAUUAGUUCGUUUCAAUUUGACUUGUUUCGUUGGACUGUAUUUAAAAACAAUUCUAGCUAGUGUUCGUACACAUGGCGCUGGACACUGAACUGUUUCAAAGUAAGAAGUAUAUAUAUAUUACCACAGACAGAUAACAAAACUACAUUUUCAAUAUGAACAAUUAGCACAUUGACAAUGUAUUUUAAAUUCGUUAUUUCGCAGUUUAGACGGAUUUAAAAAGUUUUUAAC
Pomacea canaliculata is the source of this 934-nucleotide long non-coding RNA. RefSeq lists it as uncharacterized. NCBI's taxonomy places the organism in Eukaryota, Metazoa, Mollusca, Gastropoda, Architaenioglossa, Ampullariidae. The transcript is spliced from 4 exons. The record is from RefSeq and is a predicted model, not a curated record.